AGGAUUAACGCUGGCGGCGUGCCUAACACGUGCAAGUCGAACGAGGUAGCAAUACCUAGUGGCAGACGGGUGAGUAACGCGUGGUCAACCUGCCCUUGAGCGGGGGAUAACUAGCCGAAAGGUUAGCUAAUACCGCAUACGUCUAGGAUGGCAUCAUCCAAAGAUAAAAGCCGCAAGGCACUCGAGGAGGGGACCGCGUCCCAUUAGUUAGUUGGUGGGGUAACGGCCUACCAAGACUCCGAUGGGUAGCUGGUUUGAGAGAGCGACCAGCCACACUGGGACUGAGAAACGGCCCAGACUCCUACGGGAGGCAGCAGUGAGGAAUUUUCCGCAAUGGGCGAAAGCCUGACGGAGCGACGCCGCGUGUGGGAAGAAGGCCUUCGGGUCGUAAACCACUGUCAAAGGGGAAGAUAUUGACGGUACCCUUGGAGGAAGCCCCGGCUAACGUACGCGCCAGCAGCCGC
Molecule: ribosomal RNA, 464 nt
Filed under: uncultured bacterium
Lineage: Bacteria
Description: SSU rRNA
Rfam family: Bacterial small subunit ribosomal RNA
Source: RNAcentral